CGAUAGCUCAGCUGGUAGAGCAACUGACUUUUAAUCAGUAGGUCCAGGGUUCGAAUCCCUGUCG
RNAcentral lists this transfer RNA (64 nucleotides) under Maricaulis maris. It matches the Rfam family "tRNA", at positions 5 to 66 of the family's 71-position model. Rfam says of the family: Transfer RNA (tRNA) molecules are approximately 80 nucleotides in length. Their secondary structure includes four short double-helical elements and three loops (D, anti-codon, and T loops). RNAcentral also lists the same sequence under 4 other names. Lineage: Bacteria; Pseudomonadati; Pseudomonadota; Alphaproteobacteria; Maricaulales; Maricaulaceae. The record is from RNAcentral.